Molecule: unclassified non-coding RNA, 176 nt
Filed under: Glomus indicum
Lineage: Eukaryota; Fungi; Glomeromycota; Glomeromycetes; Glomerales; Glomeraceae
Also listed under: 1 other name
Description: partial internal transcribed spacer region
Rfam family: Eukaryotic small subunit ribosomal RNA (bases 1-46)
Source: RNAcentral
AAGUCGUAACAAGGUUUCCGUAGGUGAACCUGCGGAAGGAUCAUUACCAAUAUAGCGAACCGAGCGUUAGCGAGGCUUCGCGAUCAAUUUGUAUUUAAAACCCAACUCUUUAAAUGUAUAUUAUUGUAUUUUAAAUAAUAAAAAGAUCACUUUCAACAACGGAUCUCUUGGCUCUC